Molecule: ribosomal RNA, 432 nt
Filed under: uncultured bacterium
Lineage: Bacteria
Description: partial 16S ribosomal RNA
Rfam family: Bacterial small subunit ribosomal RNA
Source: RNAcentral
AACGAACGCUGGCGGCAGGCUUAACACAUGCAAGUCGAGCGAGACCUUCGGGUCUAGCGGCGGACGGGUGAGUAACGCGUGGGAACGUGCCCUUCUCUACGGAAUAGCCCCGGGAAACUGGGAGUAAUACCGUAUACGCCCUUUGGGGGAAAGAUUUAUCGGAGAAGGAUCGGCCCGCGUUGGAUUAGGUAGUUGGUGGGGUAAUGGCCCACCAAGCCGACGAUCCAUAGCUGGUUUGAGAGGAUGAUCAGCCACACCGGGACUGAGACACGGCCCAGACUCCUACGGGAGGCAGCAGUGGGGAAUCUUAGACAAUGGGGGCAACCCUGAUCUAGCCAUGCCGCGUGAGUGAUGAAGGCCUUAGGGUUGUAAAGCUCUUUCAGCUGGGAAGAUAAUGACGGUACCAGCAGAAGAAGCCCCGGCUAACUCCGU